UAAAGGGAUGUGAGGGUCUAAGUGUUAUUGGAUUCUAAAGCAUCCAAUUCAGCCUUCAUAGCAUGUUGCUAAUUUGGAUCACUAGCUGCAUCUACAAAAGUAGAUGGUUCCACAUCCCUACUAAUAUUGGAAAUGAAGGAAAAAUGUGAUAGUGUGUAUUGUUUGUAUGAAACAAAAUUAUAGUGGGAUAUUUUAUACCUUUAUCAGACUGAAUAGCAAAGAAGACAUCCAAUUGGUAGAGGGUAGUUUAGCUAGAGAACAAACAAAGUCUUUAAGGCAGACUGAUG
This 287-nucleotide unclassified non-coding RNA is filed under the name Hevea brasiliensis (rubber tree). The record is from RNAcentral. Lineage: Eukaryota; Viridiplantae; Streptophyta; Magnoliopsida; Malpighiales; Euphorbiaceae.